UUUAAGCCCCUUCCCCAGGACACUAAUCCACACCAGGAUCCCUAACUAAAGCCCCCAACUCCAAAACUCUUCUUGCACUGAGGAUUAGUUUCCCAUAAGGUUUGGAAAAGACUGGACAUUCAAACACAGCGUCCUUUUACUUGGGAGAACCUCGAGCAUUACCAAGUGGGUUUCUGAAGUUCCAAAGUGUAGACCAGCAAGCACCUCCAGGUCACCAACCUGUGCAGCAGCCCAGGGCAGCCCGUGAGGAGGCUUGUGAGCAUGCAGGUGCUUUGGACAGCACCGGUGCCUGCACGCAGGGUCUUGGAAAGAACACAAAGGGCCUUGGACAGGACAGCAGUUCCAUUCUGAGCAACCCCUGCCAAAGGAUGCUCUAUACUGUCCCUUGAUUCCCUUCUUGCCACUGUCCUUUGCACCUACAGAGCACAGAACCUCCUAGUGACAAUUAGCCUCCUUAUCCACUGGUGGCAGCCGGUGAGCAUGAAGGGUUAAAAUUUCUAAAAGUUAGUCAUGAACAAAGUCCAGACAUGCCUGAGAGAAUUUGAGAUAGGGCUCACUGGCCCAACUAUCAACUCCCAAGGACACUGGCCAUCUGGAGCCACCCCCUCCCCUUCCUUCACUCCCUGAGGAUGGGUCAUCCCCCUGCUGCAGUGAGAUGAGUUGCCCUGCCCACAUUGCUGAGAUGCUAGAUUACACAUAUGCUUUGUUGAUGUAACUCCGUGCCAAAAGUAACUGUGCACCCUUUGUAUUAGCCAAUUAUGUGUAUUCACACGAAACCCCUGGUUUUCCCUAUAUAAGCUCCUGCCUAGAGAGGCUCGGGGCUUGACUCAAUCUCCUGUGUGAGAUACGUGUCAGCCCGAGAUCUCGUAAAUAAAACUGCCUCUUGUUGAUUACAUCAAGACCGGCUUCUCGUGUUUCCUGGGGGUACCUCAACCCGUGACUGGAGCGAGAGUCUCCCCAAGUCUGGGGGUCUUUCAUUGGGGGCUCGUCCGGGAUAGGAGCGUAACCCCCGGAGAUCCGAAUGCCUCUUGGAGAUAGCGGAAGUGAGGACGCCCCAGCUCUGGGAGAUGUCCCACGAGCCGACUUUUGUCGGGAGGACCCGGCAGGUGACAGUCAAAGAGAUCUGACUGUGACUUGACUUCGGAGGUCGUAUUCAGCUGCCUAUUUAAGUAUAGGCAUGGACAAGUGUGCUUAGAUGUGUUAGUGUCUGUUGUCUGUAUUCUGUUUCUGUGUUUGGUAUCCCAGAAGCAGCUAAGGUUAAGCUGCAGUUUGGGCCAGGUACUGAAGGUACCAGGCAUCUGUGGAAAUUGGUUAUAGGAUGUUUUGUCUUGGUCUUGUUUGUCUGGUUUCUUUUCUGUGGUAUUGUCCAGUGUCUUUUUGGCUUUUGUUUCGUUUUUGGACUUGGACUGACAACUGUGUUUGAAAUCUUGGACUGACGACUGUGUUUGAAAUCAUGAAACUGUUUGCUUUGUUUGUCAAGGAGUUUUACUUGGUCCUCUUGGUGCUUAAUUUAAAAGUUAAAAAUAAUUUGCUUGAGAGAAAUUGUUUUCUGCCGGGGAGUUUUAUCUUUCUCUCUUGAGCCUUCUCCCCAAGGAGAGCUGCCCCUCUCUUUACUCCCAUUGUCCAGCCCAGCUGCUGUUAACCGUUGUGUAUGAAGGACUCCAGGUUAGCGAGUGAUCCAUCUGAAGCAGGCAUUAACAAGAACCUGAAAGCUUUACCUUAGAUCCUGAAGAAAAAUUCUCCCUGUGGCUUAAACAUUCACAGCUUCUAAGGAAGGGACAACACAGAGUAGGAAAAUGUAGGGGCUGAGGGUGGCAAGCAUGCAGGCCUACUAGCAAGCUACAGGCUGCGCGUGGGCAGCAGCGCAGCUCUGGCCAAGUCAGUGCAAGAGGAGUUUCAAGGUAAGGAGGCUGGCUGGGGUUGGCGCUUUGACAACAAAGAUAGCGUAGAGUUAGUGGUUGUAUUUUGGCCCUGAAAAAAAAAAUUCCAGUUGCUGCCUUCAGUGGCCAGACCUUCAACACUUGCUCACAAAAGGAGAGUGUUCAUUAAGAGAAGUUCUUUAAGGGAGCCUGCCUUAUCUGCUGGCCCUAUUCCAAGAGAGGAAUUGAUCUCCAACAUUAAGUAACCUUCCCUGUUAGUCAUCAUUGACAUGGAGAGUGCCUUUGAUCCUAUCCCCACAGCAGCCAGUUCCUGCCCCUGUGGUCAAAAUGCCCCAGGUUGGGGGGCAGAGAAGCCCCUAAAAUAGUUUCAAAGAAUCUGCAACAAACUGUGAAGAACUUUGUUUUGCCAGUCAAAAUUUAGAAUUCAGUCUUUGGCUGUGGCCAAGGUCAGGAUUAAUGUUUUCUUUUCCAUGGGCCUUUAGCCCACUGAGACAGUUUGGUAAAGGGCUGCUACUGAGGUCCUGAAAGUCCCAGGUGAACUGGUUACAAUUCUUUUGUCAGACACUUAGUAUCUAACACCCAGGUUCUAACCCUCUCUCCAUCCUUUUGUUAUUAGUUCUUACUAGAAGCCUAGUGUCCUUCAGAGGCUGGGUUUAUUGAGAGACAGAGCCACUGAGCUGACACUGAAGGGAGGUACUUCUUAAGUAAAAUCUAAGUCCAGAGAGAUAGUCGAUAACAGAUCAGCUGCCUCUCUGCUUGCCUUUCUGUUUCACAGGAACAAAGCUUGUGCUUAUUUCUACAACGGCCUUUUUGUCCCAAGAAGGCCUCCUGGUUUAGCUGUGUGACUAAAUGCUAUUUGUCCUCUUCAGUGGACCUCUAUUCUCAAGAUUCCCUUGUUUUCUCACCAUCCCAUUUGAGAUGCUUGUUAGUAACUGUUACAGGUCUUCUUUACCACCGAGGAAAGAUGGAAUCCUACUAGAGGCCAGAAAAAAUGUUCCAGACACGGAUGGAAGGCCCUCACUUCUGCCUGUUGACUUCAAAACGCCUAAAGGUAGGGAGUGCCAGGUCUGCCACCAGGCUCCAAGGGUGGGUCUCAGAGGGGCUAGAAAAUGCCCCACCAAUUUGGCUAAAGUAAGAAAAAGAUAUAAAGAAAAAGUUACAGAAACUUGAAGGGUUAAGCUAAGUCACUGAGAGAGUUGUUGUAAGUUGCAGAGAAAAUAAGGUUGAUAUAUGGUUCAGGGUCGGUGCACAAAAGUAGACAGCAACUAAUAGCUGUAGAAGAAGAUACAGACAGAGAGACUGAGGAAGAGAAAGAGACAAGAGAGGAACAUAUACUGGCCACAGUAGUUAGGGAACCUAGGAAGAUAGUACCUGGCAACAGAAGAGAAUUCCUGGCUAAAGAUCGGUGUGCCUAAUACGAAGAAAAAGGACACUGGGUCAGGGACUGCCCAAGAAAGAACAAGAGGGGCCACUGGAGAGCUUCUUGGUCCUAGAGUGCUGGCUAUGUACAGAGAUAGAAGGGAAGUGUGGAUACAGGGACCCAAUGCUCUGUGCUCCUAUGCCCCCCCCCCCCAGUGGGUCAAUAUCCAAAGACCUUGAGUGCAAGGGGCUACUGGCAACGAACAAUACUUAUGGACUGCCCGAAGAACAGUGGACCUUGGCGUGGGCCGGGUAACCCACCCACUAGUUCAUGGUCAUCCCUGACUGCCCCUAUCCCUUGCUCAUGAGAAAAUUGCUCUCCAAAAUGGCUUGUGUGGGCUAAAAUGACUGGGUGAGGCCAUGUGUAUGCAUAUCUACAGACUGUGUAUGUGGAGCUUAAGACCUGUCUCAGUGCACCAGUACCUGAUGCUGGGAGAUGUGUGUGUGUGGCUUAGUGCCGUUCUGCCUGGAACACAUCAUUCCUGCCAGCCGGGCUCUGACAAUUAUCACCCAAUCCAGGACUUAAACUGCGGUAGAGUGGCUGAUGUUUUGCCUUUAAAUGAAAUGUCCCAGAGGAUGGGAUCACUGAUCAGCUGACAUGGACUAGAUUCUCCACCUGUUGGGGGCAAUCUGGUCACCUUGCUGCCCAAUCCUGACCUGGAGCCACCACAGCACAAGUGUCAAGCACUGGCAGAAGCCCAUGGGUGGAGGAAAGACCUCUGCGACUGGCUGAUUGACCCCUGCUGAAAGCCGAGGACCUUGUCCACAGACGGGAACAGUUCUCUUCAUGAAGGUCAGAGAUAAGUGGGUGCUGCCGUGGUGGACAACACAAUGUCAUCUGGGAUGGCUGAACUUCUACCCCCCAGCACAUCAGCGCUGCAGAUGCCUUUACCAUCUCUUGGAUGCCCUGGUGAAGCCAACAACUGUGAGUACUAUUCGUUGCUCAGGAUAUCAGAAGGAAGAUUCAGUGGCAUAGGACAGUAACAAAGCAGAUAAAGUGGCUCAGAAAAUGGCUAUGCAGGAGCCUAUCCUGGUUACAGGCCUACAAGAGACAGCCACUGGGAACUGGGAUUGGACUAAGAGACGGCCUCUACAAUCAUCAAGAAGAUACUGGAAGAAAUCUUUCCCCCGAUUUGGAAUGCCCAAGGUAAUCUGGUCAGACAAUGGCCCUACUUUCGUUGCCAAGGUAAGCCAGGGUGUGGCCAAGUAUUUAGAGGUUGAUUAAAAAUUACAUUAUAUUUACAGACCUCAAAGUUCAGGACAGGUAGAGUAAAUAAAUAAAACUCUAAAAGAGACCCUGACCAAAUUAAAUUGACCAUGGAGACUGGCGCAGACUGGGUGACACUCCUUCCCUCUCACUCUCUUCAGAGCAAGAAAUAUCCCUUCCAGAUUCAGCUUUACCCCCUUUGAGAUCUUAUAUGGGGCCUCAGAUCCUCUGACUGUAUUAGAUGAUGUUACUGAACCAACAUGUCAUAGUAAUAAUGAUUUAUGUGUCAGGCUAAAAGACCUACAGGUGAUACAGAAAGAAAUCUGCUCACAGCUGGCAGCAGCCUAUGCCCUGGGGACCCCCGAGACAUCUCAUCCGUUCCAGGUCGGAGACUGUAGGUACAUACAAUGACACGGAGCCCAGACACUCGAGCCUCGCUGGAAAGGACCGUACCUGGUGCUGCUGACCACCCUGACAGCCAUCAAGUCUCAGCCCUCACCAGCCGCAUACUAGCUGUUGGGGCUGAGAGCUGGGACCUAGAGGGACACUCAGAUCUUCAAAAAGCUCCCUAGACUUGCACAUCAGAUAAGUGGAUACAUCAGAGACGUGACUGGGAUGUUGCUAUAAUGCUCACUUGAGGAGUGUGCUUUAGAAACAAGAAUUUCAUGUUUGCCCUGGGUUCCAUCGAGAAAAAUAUAGAGAUAGGCUUGAUUUCUAUUACAAAUGAUGUAACAUUACAUAUGUUAAUACUCCUAACACUUCUUGGGACUGUGCCUCAGGGACCAUAAGUUUAAAAGUUCUAAGAUAGUCAUGACCUUGGUGUAUAGGUUUAGAUAGUGUUCAGAUUGGAAUCCUAAAGACUUUUUAGCUGACCUCCAAGAAUACCUAACCUCCCUCUCAGAGGUAGUCCUUCAAAAUAGGAGAAGAUUAGACCUGAUAUUCCUUAAAGAAAGAGGGCUAUGUGCUGCUUUGAGAGAAGAAUGUUGUUUUUACCUCGAUCACUCCGGGACCAUUAAAGAUUCUAUGGCUAAACUUAGGGAGAGGCUGGACAAGAGACGACGAGAACGAGAAACCACUGAUAACUGGUUUCAAAGCUGGUUCGAUAGGUCCCCAUGGCUUACCACCCUGCUGUCAGUCUUAGCUGGUCCCUUGAUUAUCCUCCUCCUUUUGCUCACCUUUGGGCCCUACAUCAUUAAUCGCCUUCUAGCUUUUGUCAGGGAGCGGAUUAGUGCUAUACAUGUCCUUAUGUUGAGACAACAGUAUCGGGCUGUAUCGGGCUAUACGGGGUGAAGAGCCUCUAGACGCUAGACUCGUAGUCCUAAGAUUAGGACUAUUCACAAGGAGUAGAGGGGAAUGAAGGGUUAAAAUUUCUAAAAGUUAGUCAUGAACAAAGUCCAGACAUGCCUGAGAGAAUUUGAGAUAGGGCUCACUGGCCCAACUAUCAACUCCCAAGGACACUGGCCAUCUGGAGCCACCCCCUCCCCUUCCUUCACUCCCUGAGGAUGGGUCAUCCCCCUGCUGCAGUGAGAUGAGUUGCCCUGCCCACAUUGCUGAGAUGCUAGAUUACACAUAUGCUUUGUUGAUGUAACUCCGUGCCAAAAGUAACUGUGCACCCUUUGUAUUAGCCAAUUAUGUGUAUUCACACGAAACCCCUGGUUUUCCCUAUAUAAGCUCCUGCCUAGAGAGGCUCGGGGCUUGACUCAAUCUCCUGUGUGAGAUACGUGUCAGCCCGAGAUCUCGUAAAUAAAACUGCCUCUUGUUGAUUACAUCAA
Long non-coding RNA from Rattus norvegicus (Norway rat), 6278 nucleotides. RefSeq lists it as uncharacterized. NCBI's taxonomy places the organism in Eukaryota, Metazoa, Chordata, Mammalia, Rodentia, Muridae. The record is from RefSeq and is a predicted model, not a curated record.